UACAGAGGGUGCAAGCGUUAAUCGGAUUUACUGGGCGUAAAGAGCACGUAGGUGGUUUGAUAGGUUGAAUUGUGAAAGACUUGGGCUUAACCCAAGAGUGGCAUUCAAAACGGUCAAGCUAGAGUGUUGGAGAGGGAAGUAGAAUUUCUGGUGUAGCGGUGAAAUGCGUAGAUAUCAGAAAGAAUGACAGUGGCGAAGGCGACUUCCUGGCCAAAUACUGACACUGAGGUGCGAAAGCGUGGGUAGCGAACGGGAUUAGAUACCCCGGUAGUCCACGCCGUAAACGAUGAGAACUAGAUGUUUGGGGGCUUGCCCCUGAGUGUCGCAGCUAACGCGAUAAGUUCUCCGCCUGGGGAAUACGGUCGCAAGACUA
RNAcentral lists this ribosomal RNA (373 nucleotides) under uncultured bacterium. RNAcentral describes it as "bacterial SSU rRNA". It matches the Rfam family "Bacterial small subunit ribosomal RNA", at positions 524 to 896 of the family's 1533-position model. The record is from RNAcentral.